RNAcentral lists this long non-coding RNA (671 nucleotides) under Lactuca sativa (garden lettuce). Its description in RNAcentral is "long non-coding RNA (LSAT_LNC004467)". The record is from RNAcentral. Lineage: Eukaryota; Viridiplantae; Streptophyta; Magnoliopsida; Asterales; Asteraceae.
AUCCACCCUGUUUCCUUUUCCUCGAUUUGGAUGUGGUCUGGUGGGAUAUCGGGUACUCGUCCGAAGGUCGUUUAAAUAUUAGUUAUAUAUCAUGUAUACAUAUAUGGUCAUAAAUGUUCCACCAGUUAAUUUAGUUUCGAUACUCCUGGGUAGCAAAGGUGUAUAAACCUACUUGNUCCUUUUCCUCGAUUUGGAUGUGGUCUGGUGGGAUAUCGGGUACUCGUCCGAAGGUCGUUUAAAUAUUAGUUAUAUAACAUGUGUACAUAUAUAGUCAUAAAGGCCCUUCCAGUUCAUCCCAUGCCCUUGGGUAGCAAGGGUAUACAUCCAUGUCCAUACGUACCAGUUAGAUUACUAGUAAACUACCAUAUGGGUAGUUUUGGAAGAUACUAGAACUAUUACUAGAAUGCGAUAUCAUAGAAUGAGUCAGUUCAUUCAUGAGUUAAUACUUGCUAGAUAGAGAGAACAUACAUUACUAUGAGAACAUAUACAACUAUACUAGAGGAAGAACAUAUACAACUAUACUAGGAGAAGAACAUAUACAACUAUACUAGAGGAAGAACAUAUACAACUAUACUAGAGGAAGAACAUAUAGAACUAUACUAGAAAGAGAACAUAUACUAUGAUACUAGAACGAGUAACAAUACAUUACAUAUACAUAUAUAUACAUUGAC